RNAcentral lists this long non-coding RNA (796 nucleotides) under Fukomys damarensis (Damara mole-rat). RNAcentral's name for it is "lncRNA (ENSFDAG00000025864.1)". Lineage: Eukaryota; Metazoa; Chordata; Mammalia; Rodentia; Bathyergidae. The record is from RNAcentral.
CUGAUCCCUCCCUGCUGACCUCCGGCGCCCCGAGGCCGCUGGCUGCUGGGGCUGUGCCCCGGUGGCCCAGCUCAGGUAACCAGGCUGACGGCCCAUCUCCCUGGGCUUUUCUGCAGUAGCUCAGGAGUAUCAGGAAGCCAACCCCAACCUUGGAGGACCUCUGAGAGUCCAGCACCCACCAGCAAGAAAGGCUGCAGUCUGCUAACAAGUGAAGAGGAGUAGACAAUGAACGUGUCCUCUUAAAGAUAGCACUAACCAGGGAGCCCCACCCUCAGAAUCUGGGAGCUACAAGUGCUGCUGGUUGAAAGCUGAUGAUCACAGCCGAUAAUAAAGUUAAUUGUUACCCAGGUAGUGUCUUAUGGUUUACAAGUGAAACUUCUUUUAUGCUCUUGACAAAAUAGUGACCCCCAGAGUGUGGAUGUGUCCUCUAGAAAGUACAUGGGACAGCCCUGGAGGUAGGUAGUAGGCCCAGAGACACCUGUGGGUGGGCACUUUGUGACUUGCCCAGAAAGGCCCUGGGGUGGAAAUCCAGCCUGCAGCCUUAAGGGUAAAGGGCACAGGUACCCAGACAGGAGGACAGUGAAGGAGAGGGUGGAGGGUAAUCAGGUCCUGAUGUCCAACCCCCUCCGGAUGGUAGCUCCAGGGUGAUUCGGGGAGGCUGAGCAGGGGAGGAGGUCAGGCUUGCUGCCUGCUGGGAAUAGCACCCUGACACCUGAGAAACCAGGUAGGGAGCCCUUUGGAAGUCAAGGUCUGGAUUUGAGCAGACUGGACCUCUUCAUGUGUACUUGGCCAAGCC